Molecule: long non-coding RNA, 1784 nt
Filed under: Felis catus (domestic cat)
Lineage: Eukaryota; Metazoa; Chordata; Mammalia; Carnivora; Felidae
Description: lncRNA (ENSFCAG00000041569.2)
Source: RNAcentral
AUUGAAUUUUUCUGCAAAACAACAACAAUGACAACAACCACCACCUGCAUUUUAAGGAUUUAUGUUGUAAGUCAAUCCAGUGCCUUGGUAUCUUCGGUGAAGGUCACUGCUGGGAGUGAUGAGAAAGUAGAACAGUUAUGAUUCGGGCAGUGGUACAUAAGCUUGUAGAAGAAUAAAAUUCUCUUUGUUUUGCUUGCAGAACCUAAAUUUCUUCCACCUGCUUCCCUUCCUUCUUGGUUUCAGAGAAGCUAACCCUGUUAUAGCUGGACAUUACCGUAUUAAAAUUUAAUCUCCUUUCAUCAGUCUGGUCCAGAAAAUCUUUCCAUUUCAGUACGAGUAUUAUUACAGCUUCAGUCCGUAUCCAUUUUGGAGCUGAGCUUCUGCGUUUCCUCUCCCUUAGAGAUCCAGUGGGCCCGGGCCUCCAUCCCAAAGCAUGGAGUGGGUGGAGAAGGUGGGUGGCUGAGACGAAGUGGCCUCCUUUCUCGGCCUCAUCUGGUUCUGUGAAGUUGCUGCUGCCUGCUGUGUGCAAUGGUGACCAGGACUGAGGCUGAUGUCGCAUCACCGGAUAGCACACGAGAUGUCCUUUGGGUAUCCUGCCCAACUUCCUAGGCAAAGCACACCCCACUUCUGCGAACUGGCCCUGGGGAGAGAGCAAGUGGUCUGGCUUUGUGAGGAAUACAAGGGAAAUGGGGAAAGAAAAGAAUCAGCCAACAAAAGAAAUUAUUUCCUGGAGAUAUGCAAAAUGAGAAGACACGCCAUCAAUCUUCGUAAUUCUUUGUUUUGAUGUGUGAUUGUAGACAGGGCUACAAAGGAGAGCUUCCAGGCACGGUAAGUGUCCAACCCUGUCGGUGUUAGUUCCCGCAAAAGUCCAAUAAGGAAAAAAAAAAAAGUGUGAUGGGUUUGAGCAUUAUUUGAAGGAGCACUGAGAAUCAAGAACAGGCAACUCUGAGAGAUAAAUGACCUCAAGGCUCUCAUUUAGAAAUGAGGCCCUCCUGGGAUAGGGGACAACUGGAGGCCCACCGGCCACUAGAAGCAUCAAGAUCAUGAGAGCACACCUCCCUCUGGCGUGUGAGUGUUCUUUCUACGAGUCCAGAUUAAUCAGUGAAGAAUCGUUGUCCUUCACCAUGUUUACAAGUCCCAGCCUCUUCCAGUCUAAGUCUCCAAUGUGACAACAUUAUCCUUAAAAUCUUACCCUUGGUCCUAUGCCCUUCGAUCCAUCUUUCAAAUUUGAGCUUCUGAGAGAAGUCUUCUGUGACUACCCCUGCCUCCCUGUGCUCAUCUUUGCCUUGGUCCAAGUGCAGUGUCAUCUACUGAUUUAUGUGUAUUUGUGGAUUCUCCAGUCUGAACUACGUUCCCAGUGAAGUCUCAAGGCAUGGGGAUCUGUCCUGAUUUUUCUCUGAACUUUCAGAAGCCACGUAUAUGACACGUAAGGGCACAAUAUAUCCAAAGUGAGGUCCACACAAAAGUGAAGUUCAUGGGAUAAUUCCAUGAGCUUCUGCUAUUGUGGGAGCUGAGUGGAAAUAGUAUUCCAUGAUUGAGUAUAUCUAAGAAACAGUGAGUCAAAUAACUUCAAACACCUUUUCCUGAAUGACUUCUCAGAUGGUGCAUUUAUAAGAGGGUAAUUAGUAGGGCUUCUUGUCCCGAUUUUAUUUUAGAAUCCUUUUUUAUUCAAGAAAUGUACUUAGAAAAAUUCCAGUCUUAUGACAAUGAUUACUAGUGCAUAGAGAAUACCAAAUACUGGUGCAUAGAGAAUAACCUGGGGAGUUGACAAAUAUUUAGAUUUG